Chinchilla lanigera (long-tailed chinchilla) is the source of this 935-nucleotide long non-coding RNA. RefSeq lists it as uncharacterized. The transcript is spliced from 3 exons. The record is from RefSeq and is a predicted model, not a curated record. NCBI's taxonomy places the organism in Eukaryota, Metazoa, Chordata, Mammalia, Rodentia, Chinchillidae.
GAUUCCAAGAGGGUGAUGGGCCCUCAGGUCCUUACUCUCUGGUUCCUGCUUCUAUGAGCGGAAGCUGGAUUUUUUCCAGAGGUCAUUCUCAUUUAACAGAAAUCACCUGGCAGAGGAUGUUAAGGAUAUUUAUUUAAAGUAUGGCCGUGUGUCACGGCGUGAUUAUACACAGUUCAGUUCUGAAGGGCAAUGCAUUGUUUCUGAUAUGAUAUUGCAACACUAGAGACUGACACCAUUGAGAGGCCGUGCUGUGCCAAAGUCCAUGAAAGCGUAUAUGGCCAUUCCCACUCCAUCUGCUUCGUUUCUAACCAGAAACGGUUCUUCAAGACUGCAUGGAUGAGAGCAAAAAGCUUUGAAGCAUUUCAGUUGCCAUCAUAUGCAAAUCUGAACAGUGGUGAGAAAGAUGCCUUCAAGCGCUAUCCACCACCUUUCUUCCUCACAUCAAUCAAGGAACAGCAUGGCUGUGUUUUCAAAUGCCAGUAUUUAUUUCCUCUUCAUUUUAAGCUUGUUUUCAUUCUUUUACAUGGCUGUUGAAUUCUGAUGAGGGGACACUGUCCAGUCCAAUCUGUUCAGCCUUCAGGUAAUUACUUGGCGUGCUUAAACUCCCAUUCCGCUGAAAUAAGACGCAGCUUUCCUGUUUCCCAUCUGCUCCAUGAUCUCAUCACCAACCGUUCGGCGCACUCUUCUGAAGUCUAUGUUCUUCGCUUAUGACAGGCUCUUACAGCGACUAAGAGUUCACAUUCCAGUACCAGACACUUCACAACAGAGUACAAAUUUUUCACCUUUUAGAAAUUUUUUUGGCCUUUACAUUACAAGGGAAUUUGUCUCAAUUCUGGACUCAUAAGAUUUAUUACAUGACUUUAAAUAUUUUGUAAGAAUAAAAUAAAACAAGAAGCUUAGUCCAGUGCUUGGUAAAUAGUAAGCAUUUAGUAGAU